UUUAAGUGCAACCAUGAGUUUCCAUGUCCAACUUUGAUCGUCUGUUUUAUUUGAAUUUUUUUUAUAAUUAGUAUUUUUGUUGUUAUGAGAUGAUAAAAUAUGAAUAAUACUUUAUUCAUGACUUAUGUUUUUAAAUUUUUUUAAAUAAGACGGACGAUUAAAAUUGGGCACGGAAAAUUAAGGCUACACUUAAA
Oryza sativa Japonica Group (Japanese rice) is the source of this 194-nucleotide microRNA precursor. It matches the Rfam family "MIR812 microRNA precursor family". NCBI's taxonomy places the organism in Eukaryota, Viridiplantae, Streptophyta, Magnoliopsida, Poales, Poaceae. The record is from Rfam.